Molecule: ribosomal RNA, 384 nt
Filed under: Sinorhizobium medicae
Lineage: Bacteria; Pseudomonadati; Pseudomonadota; Alphaproteobacteria; Hyphomicrobiales; Rhizobiaceae
Description: bacterial SSU rRNA
Rfam family: Bacterial small subunit ribosomal RNA
Source: RNAcentral
UGGCUCAGAACGAACGCUGGCGGCAGGCUUAACACAUGCAAGUCGAGCGCCCCGCAAGGGGAGCGGCAGACGGGUGAGUAACGCGUGGGAAUCUACCCUUUUCUACGGAAUAACGCAGGGAAACUUGUGCUAAUACCGUAUAAGCCCUUCGGGGGAAAGAUUUAUCGGGAAAGGAUGAGCCCGCGUUGGAUUAGCUAGUUGGUGGGGUAAAGGCCUACCAAGGCGACGAUCCAUAGCUGGUCUGAGAGGAUGAUCAGCCACAUUGGGACUGAGACACGGCCCAAACUCCUACGGGAGGCAGCAGUGGGGAAUAUUGGACAAUGGGCGCAAGCCUGAUCCAGCCAUGCCGCGUGAGUGAUGAAGGCCCUAGGGUUGUAAAGCUCU